Alligator mississippiensis (American alligator) is the source of this 3533-nucleotide RNA transcript. It is a transcript of the gene named TAFA chemokine like family member 5, with no coding region annotated. The transcript is spliced from 7 exons. NCBI's taxonomy places the organism in Eukaryota, Metazoa, Chordata, Crocodylia, Alligatoridae. The record is from RefSeq and is a predicted model, not a curated record.
CGGCCCCUCCUCCCGGCUCGCGGCGGCCGGGCCCCCCCGAGAGCGGCAGCAGGAUGGUGCACUGGAGCCCCGGCGAGACCAGCCCGGCUCGCGCAUUCUCGGCGCCGCCGAGCCCGAGCCGGCUCUGAAGCAGCAGCAGGAGCAGCCCCCUCCGGAGCGGCGGGAGCUAUUGCGCAAUUGUGCCCAGCUCCCUCCCCUCCCUCCCCAGCCAUCAAUGCUGCUCAACUCCCGAGGAAACAGAAAGCUGAUUCAUGGAGCCCAGACCCAGCUUCCUCCGUGCUGCUGCUACCCAUAAGAAGAUCAUGGUGCCGCUGCUGCUUGAGACUUUGUUUUAACGCCCCCUCCUCCUCCCCUUCCCUGCUUCCCCAUCCCUCCUCCCCAGACCCGGAGCUCGCUCUCUCCUGGAAGUGCGAGUCCUGCCCGGGGAGCAGCCGAGCCUGGCGCAAAAAAAAAAAAAGAGGAGGAGAAAAAAAAAAAAAGGGGGGGGGAAACCUGGAUGCAUCGCUGUGGAGAUUCAUUGUGUGACUUCCCGGGUAUUUACUGAGUUUCAAACCGAGAUGCAGCUCUUGAAAGCUUUAUGGGCAUUAGCAGGAGCAGCGAUCUGCUGUUUUCUUAUAUUUGUCAUCCACUCUCAGUUCCUUAAAGAAGGUCAACUGGCUGCAGGUACAUGUGAGAUUGUUACUUUGGACAGAGAUAGCAGUCAGCCCCGAAGGACUAUAGCCCGACAAACAGCUCGCUGUGCAUGUAAAAAAGGACAGAUUGCCGGUACAACAAGAGCAAGGCCAGCCUGCGUGGAUGCACGAAUUAUUAAAACAAAACAGUGGUGUGAAAUGCUUCCAUGUUUAGAAGGAGAAGGCUGUGAUUUGCUAAUCAAUAAAUCAGGCUGGACCUGUACACAACCUGGUGGACGGAUAAAGACAACCACGACUGAAGACCAGCUGGAAAUGUCCUGAGGCCAUGGUCUAGUGGUCUGAGCAUGGGACUGGGAGCCAGAAACUCCUGAGCUCUAAUCCCGGCUCUGACAGUGACUCCCUCUGUGGCCUUGGAAAACUGACCACCACUGAACUCCUUGCCAAAAUUCCACAGAAACCAGGGGGUAUUGGGGAUCUUGCCAAAGAAUUUAGAUCCAAUAUGCUGCACAAUACACAGGGCUCUGCCUCUGAUAGACAGCGACACACUGCCUGUCUGAGGCCAUGAGGUUUGGAGAUCUGAUCACUAGUCCGAAAAGGAAAGGCUGUUUGCAAGAUUUCUGGGGUGUUUUUUCCUGGAAAAGGUCUCCUGACAAAUACAGCAACAGAGAAUCCUCGUAGGAGUGGUCUAGGCUCUGUGUGAGCUACUUAGUCAAGUUUCACUGCUGUGGAUCAUCAUUUGUUAUAUGUCAUCAACUCAACUGUCUAUUUCUCUGUAUCUCAUAAAAGACAGCAUAAUUCUUCUACAUUAUGAGCUAAAGUCUGUUCUACCAUACUAAGGAGUACUGGACAAAGGAAUAUAGAUAUGCGAGAUAUGCCUGGGCAUUAGCAAUACAAAAAAGUUCAUGGUUAACGUUUCAUCUGCGUUAUACACCACUGCUGGACUUGAUGUUACCUACAUGUUUUAAUCUGAAGAGUCUACUACACUGAAGAGUAUCAUCCCAAUCAGCCUUAGAGAAGACUGUUUUGUCUAUGGGAGGACAAUGAGUUGCAAAAGAGAAACUCUUCUUGUGCCCUGGACUGUCUGAAUUGCUUUUAUUUUCUUAUACUUUCAGUAUAUACGAUAGACCAAAGAGAAAAAUCUAUUUUAAAGUGGACACAAUCUUACUGUUAACAAAGUUAUCUGCGUUAAAUUGUAGGGGGUCUCCACAAAGACAUGAAUUCAGUUGUCACAAAGCUGAGAUAUUGCUGUCCAGCAGAAGUCUUUACGGGACACUGCAGUAAAAACUAAACCAGAAAACUGCUUUGAAAAAAACACAUUCUAAAGAACAUAAUGGAGCAGCGAGGGAAAAAUGACCUAUGUUUGAACUACUUAGAUGAAAAGAAUACAAACUGUCUACAUGGCACCUUUAUUCCUCUGUACUUAGAUUGACUUUCUCGUACUAAAAUCAUUUUCAGUUUUAACCAGUUAAACAUGCCUCUUCUACAGUUCCAUUUUUGAUAGUUAAAGUUGGAUAAUACAGUAUUUGCAAAGAGCAUGUUUGGUCAUCUGUGGCCUAUGUCUCAUCUGAUACACCAUUUAGCACCAGAAAGCAAAUUAAAGAAAAAAAAAGUAACACUUGUUUGAAAGAGAUCAUUAAAUGUAUUUUGAAAAGCCUAAAGUUAUAUAUUUAACAGUUUUUAUAUGUUGUAUAUUUGUAGAAAAUCCUAUUUAACAAUUAACGUGGUAACUCUGACAGUCAUGACAAGUGGUUCAGAGUUAAGUUGUGUUUUAUUACUUCAGUUGUUUCUGAAGUGACUGGUGUCGUUUGCUUUCUUCCAUUGGGACGUUCUGGAUGUAAAGCAUGACCAGAGAGGACUCUGUAGAAAAAGCAAAGAAUAAUGUUGUUUAUAUUACAUAAAUGCAUUCAACCAUUGCACUGUUGGAAGGCAUUUUUUGUCUUUAUGUACUGGUAAAAUAGAGUGUAAAAUAUUUUAAUCAUUGCUUUUCAUACCGAGUUAUUUUUCUCUCUCUUUCUCCCAGUCCCCUUUUACAUGAUUCAGUACAAAGGUCAGUUUGCAACCUAUUCCUUGAUUCAGUUUCAAUGUUUUACCUCAUCAGUAGAAAUCCCACUUUGUCAGCAUUAUCAGGUAGUGAAAAUUAAUGCUAGAGCAGCAUAGAAAAGAGGAGAAAUGAUGAUAAAAAAGAAAAUUCCUACUCCCUAUUACUGUACCUUUCUAUGUACAAGGUUUGGUACGUAUUGAUAUGAUGAGACCAACAACUGAGGUUAGCUUCUUUCUGGCAAAUGUAUUCUGAUUUUAAGUACUUCUCCAGGUUUCCACUGUAGUAUGCUACCUAAUACUCCAGUUAACUUUUAGUAUUAUACUAGUUCUAUGCUACUAAAGAAAAUUAUAGAGAGACUGUUCAAGCAAUCAUAGAAGAAAAAUAUAAAAACAAAAUAACUGAUUUUUUUUUCAAGGCCUGUUCCAAUACUGAGGCUUAUUAAAUACAGAGGUUACAGGAACCAUGAAUUAUAGGUGACUGUGUCUUUGAGUAAAAUAAAUAUAUACAAUAUUCUUAUUUAAUCUUAGGGGUUUUUACCAGUGUCAAAGUAGCAAUUAAAGCCCAGCCACUUGAAAAGUGUUAUGGACUGACUGCACUAUAAAUGACUGAUGUCAGGUUUAAAAUGUCAUGCAAUAAAUGAUGGUAAAUACAGUUACUGUACUAGUAGAACUCAAGAGCCAGAGCCCUCACCCUACCAACUUUCUGUUUUGUUUCAGUUUAUUUUUAAAGGGAGUGUAGUAGCCUUACUUAGUAAACACAGAACAAUUAAAGAUGUUACAACAUUUUUGUUGCUUUACAGUAUUCAGUUUUGUGUUGGUUCAGCUAAAUUAUAAAAAUAAAGAAAAUACUUUUAUAAGUGA